Molecule: non-coding RNA, 207 nt
Organism: Chiloscyllium plagiosum (whitespotted bambooshark)
Lineage: Eukaryota; Metazoa; Chordata; Chondrichthyes; Orectolobiformes; Hemiscylliidae
Source: RefSeq, a predicted model, not a curated record
UGCAGUUUGUGUGGUGAAGGUGCUCUCACAGUGUGGUUGGAUUCCACCAUCUGCCAAGAUGGGAUUCGAACCAGGACUUCAGUCAUUUGUUUUAAUAAUCUGGAUAAAAGCUACAUCAGGAUAUUACAGGUGGACAUUCAGAUGGUAAUCUCAGUAAAUGUUCUGCUAAACUCUGAUUGAAUUACUCAGUAUAUCAGGACCUGUGUG